GUGAUUGAGAAACUAGUGACAUCUCCUCACUUGAUUGGACAUGAUGCAAGAGAGGACCUGUACAACAUGCUACCGGCUAGUUUAAGAGGAGCCCUCAGGUCGAAACUAAAGCCAUUUGCCAAGAGCUUGACAUCAUCAGUUUAUGAUACGGUUCUUGCUGGAGAAUGGAAUGAAGCAAUGAUGGGGAUUCUAGAAUGGCUCGCUCCGCUUGCUCAUAACAUGAUAAGAUGGCAAUCCGAGCGGAGCAUCAUCAGUUUAUGACACGGUUCUUGCUGGAGAAUGGAAUGAAGCAAUGCUGGGGAUUCUAGAAUGGCUCGCUCCGCUUGCUCAUAACAUGAUAAGAUGGCAAUCUGAGCGGAGCUUUGAGCAUCAGAACUUUGUUUCAAGAACGAAUGUGCUGCUUGUACAAACCCUUUAUUAUGCAAAUCAAGAAAAGACAGAAUCAACAAUUACAGAGCUACUCGUCGGUCUGAAUUACAUAUGGAGGUACGGAAGAGAAGUGAAUGCAAAAGCAAUAGAGGAAUGUGCUAGUGCUAGAAUGAUGUUUAAUGAUGACUACUUGGAUGAGUGAUUUUGGCUUUGAACGGUUGGAGUUUAGAAACUGGUCCAUGGCAAAAUGCUUCUCUUCAGAAGCAAAUCACAAGACGUCUCCGCCUGGUUUUUCUCAGUUGCUGCUGAUUCGAGCUACUCUGGCGAUCAUAUUCCAUAAUAUUCUUUAUUCGUUAAAGGGGUGACGAAUACUGCAGGAAUGUAACUUUAAGCUUCUGAACAUUCUUUCAGGUCAGUAAGCGAUGACCUUUUUUCCAUUUUGCCAGGAAAACUUGGAUCUCAUUCGAUAUAUCAGAGUCCACGCUAUAAAUUAAAUGUCUUGUUAUUUGAUAAAUGUAUAGAAUUAGCUGAGGUUGUUUCUAGCUUUGUAAAUUUACAUAGCAAAGGCUUUCCCUUAAUAUAUAAACAAUGAAGGUUUGGCGCGUAGAUUGAACUGUACUUUCC
This 993-nucleotide long non-coding RNA is filed under the name Nicotiana benthamiana. Its description in RNAcentral is "long non-coding RNA (NBEN_LNC037021)". The record is from RNAcentral. Lineage: Eukaryota; Viridiplantae; Streptophyta; Magnoliopsida; Solanales; Solanaceae.